AUAAUUAUCAUAAUUACAAUCAGUCAUCAUCGCGGCCAAUUCCGACGUGUCUGCGCGCGCGCCGAUGCGCACGUGCACGUUCAUUCAUCGCUGACGCCUUAAACUUACCCAUUUUCAUACAGCUGGCAGUGUUUUACAAAGCAAUAUAUUCUUUUUUUCACAGUUAUCCAUGGAACGGAUGAAGUGACCAACACAUAAUAUGCACUAUUAAUAAAAGCCCGAUUGUGUUUCAGUGCAGAAAACAUGUGGUGCAUAAAUCUGUGUACAAAACACUCUGCAGCCUCCACUAAAUACAUACACAUGUACAAAUAAUAUACUCCAUACUUGCAUAUUCAGUGAAAAUACUACACUAUUUACAGCUUCCAGGAGUUUCAAAAUACUGUUGUAUAAGGAGGAAGCAAAAAAUGAGGGUUUGGAAUAAAAGUACGAUUUGGCACUUUUGGGGGGGCGCAGUUCUAAAAAAGGUCACAUUCUUUUAAUCUUCAAGUAAAAAAAUGAUUUAUAGGAAUCACAUGACUAACAGUCAGUCACCCCAGGUAAGUUCAUAACCUACUGGGGCAGGUGCGAGACACAACAGGUAUUUCGGUUUACGGUCACCGUGUCAUGCAGGACCCCCCUCCCUCCGCGUCCCUGGAGGACUGUGUGUAUACUAAGAUACCAUAGUACUGUACGGACAGGCUACGGGGGACAGUGGUUCGCACUCACGCUUUUGGAGCCCAACAGCGGAGGUUCGAAUUCCACCUCUGCUCUAGUCUAGUACGUUGGUUGAGGUACUUUCUCUGACUUUAUUCCCGCUCUGUAAAUGUGGCUUAAAACUAGUGCGAAAAGCGUCCGAAAUCGAAGGGACUUCGUUAAAACUGGCGGCGCGUCGUCGCCUCAGACAGUUCGCUGAGGCGGGACUGAAGAACUAGGGCUCCGCGAGCGGGACUGUGCGCGCGACGGAGGAUGCUGUAAUACCCCUUUAAAAGGCCGAAACGUUCCGAGCGCCUCUGCAUCGAGCGCGCGCGGCCGCUCCAUCCGCCGCGCGCGCGACGCCCAGCCCAGAACCGAGGAAUACAGAGAAUAUACAAUGUCCAGCCACGCCGCCGCGGCCAUCUCCGCUAUGAUCACCAGCCAGGUGUACCCGCAGCCGCCACGGGUCGCCACACACACCAGGCAGCGGAGCAGGAGCCAAGAGCUACGGCCUGUGGCGUCGCUCCCAAAAGGCAAAGUCAUCGGGGUGAGGCCCUUCGCUCUACUGAGCCGCAAAGCGCUGUCCCGUGGACAGACACGGGGUUGACCGGCAGUCUGUUAGUGCUCUUCGGAGAACCUUCUGUACGCAGCGCACGGUCCUUAGUUUCACACACACAGUACCGCACUCUAACGUUGGUCACUUGAUUGAACUUUGCCUCGGGGGACAUACACUCUUCCCUGGCAUGACAGGGGUCAUUACUUGCUGAAAACUCCUCUCGGCAUUUAUGGUCUGUCCCAUUGUGCUUUGACUGACACUGAGUUGCUAGACACACACUCACAC
Molecule: long non-coding RNA, 1513 nt
Filed under: Scleropages formosus (Asian bonytongue)
Lineage: Eukaryota; Metazoa; Chordata; Actinopteri; Osteoglossiformes; Osteoglossidae
Description: lncRNA (ENSSFOG00015025284.1)
Source: RNAcentral